AUUGAACGCUGGCGGCAGGCCUAACACAUGCAAGUCGAACGAGUGGCGGACGGGUGAGUAAUGUCUGGGAAACUGCCUGAUGGAGGGGGAUAACUACUGGAAACGGUAGCUAAUACCACAUACCAUACGAUGUGCCCAGAUGGGAUUAGCUAGUUGUGGGGGAAACGGCUCACCAAGGCGACGGUCCCUAGCUGGUCUGAGAGGAUGACCAGCCACACUGGAACUGAGACAGUGUCCAGACUACUACGGGAGGCAGCAGUGGUGAAUAUUGCACAAUGGGCGCAAGCCUGAUGCAGCCAUGCCGCUUGUAUGAAGAAGGCCUUCGGGUUGUAAAGUACUUUCAGCGGGGAGGCGUUACCCGCAGAAGAAGCACCGGCUAACUCCGUGCCAGCAGCCGCGGUAAUUC
Molecule: ribosomal RNA, 406 nt
Filed under: uncultured bacterium
Lineage: Bacteria
Description: partial 16S ribosomal RNA
Rfam family: Bacterial small subunit ribosomal RNA
Source: RNAcentral